AAAAAAGUAAAACAUAAGUUUUGUUUUUUUUUUUUAAAGUAUAACAUAAGUAAAAUAUAAGCGGUUUAUAAACAUUUUUUUUUUGUCUAUUUUACCAAUUUAUGUAAGUUCUGAAAAACCGGAUGAACUCAAAACCGUUUUCCCAAAACUCAUAACCACUAAGCUUUACGCUUUAUUAAAAAUCUUAUUAAGCAGUGUUUACCACUCACUUAUAACUAGUUUUA
RNAcentral lists this long non-coding RNA (224 nucleotides) under Capsella rubella. Its description in RNAcentral is "long non-coding RNA (CRUB_LNC003982)". The record is from RNAcentral. Lineage: Eukaryota; Viridiplantae; Streptophyta; Magnoliopsida; Brassicales; Brassicaceae.